Non-coding RNA from Nicotiana tabacum (common tobacco), 387 nucleotides. Lineage: Eukaryota; Viridiplantae; Streptophyta; Magnoliopsida; Solanales; Solanaceae. The record is from RefSeq and is a predicted model, not a curated record.
AAAUAAUUGUUAACUGAAUGCAGUUGCUGCACAGUCAAGUACGACGAAGGAGGUUGACCUUAAAGACCAAAUUGCGAAAUAUCUAGAAGAUUCUUCAUUCCAAGAUAUGCUGGUCAAAGUUGAGGAAGUCAUCCGUGAAUUGGGAGAUAAUACAGUGCUGUAGCUGCACCAGAGCUGAUGCAAAAAAAAAUCAUAGCUGAUUACCUAUUAAUUCUUCAAACAUGGGAGGUUUUUUUCAUUUUCUUUCCCAAUUUGCUUAUAGAACACAUCAAAACAAGCAAGCAGUUGUACAAGAUAAUUUUUUCCGUGCAUUGUCUGUUGAAGCAAUUACAUUAGCUAUCUUAAGUAGAACUUGGAAGUACAAAAUUGUGAUCUCAUUUUAGACAA